AUGAUCCCUGCAUCUCUGCUGCUGCUUCUUGCAGCUGCAUGCUAUGUUCAGUGUGUUGAACUGACCCAGCCAGGCUCUGUGGUUGUAAAGCCAGGACAGUCUCUGACCAUCUCCUGUAAAGUCUCUGGGUAUUCCUUGACUGAUGACAGCUACUAUACAGGCUGGAUUCGACAGCCUGCAGGGAAAGCUCUGGAGUGGAUUACACAUAUCUGGGGUAGUGGAACCAUAAGAUUAAAAGAUUCACUGAAGAAUAGGUUCAGCAUCUCCAGAGACGCCUCCAGCAGCACAGUGUCUUUGCAAGGGAGCAGCCUGCAGACUGAAGACACAGCUGUGUAUUACUGUGCCCGACACAGUGACAAAAAGUCAUUUGAAAGCAAUACAAAAACUGUGUCACACAUCAUUAACCACAAUCAACAUGUUGAUGUGGGAUACACACUACUGUAUACUGAAACAUUGUGA
Non-coding RNA from Megalops cyprinoides (Indo-Pacific tarpon), 459 nucleotides. The record is from the annotation of a RefSeq genome assembly. Lineage: Eukaryota; Metazoa; Chordata; Actinopteri; Elopiformes; Megalopidae.